Molecule: non-coding RNA, 1765 nt
Organism: Misgurnus anguillicaudatus (oriental weatherfish)
Lineage: Eukaryota; Metazoa; Chordata; Actinopteri; Cypriniformes; Cobitidae
Source: RefSeq, a predicted model, not a curated record
AGUGUAACCUCAAUCGGUUUUUGCAGCUUCUGGGUCCCGUGUAGAACGAUUUUUUGUUCUUUUCCAACUCGAUUUUUAACUCCCUAAACUAGUAGGAUGUUCCAACGGGUGAAGCAACAGUGCUGACGGCAGUUUCAGUGUCAAGUUUUCAUGCCAUGACCACUGGGUCGGAAACCAUUAUGACAUUGCCUUGGACAUCAAACUAAACCAUCUCAUUCUGGCUUUUGAGGUGGAUUCUAACCUCGAAAUCUCAGAAGGACAGGUCUAAGAUGGACGCAGCCUCCAUAGGAUGCAACCUUGCAUUUGAGAAACACCCAUAGAACGGAGAAAGUCAUGGUGUUCUGCUGCUAAGGUUGUCAUAAACGUCUUUUAUUCUGCUUACCUGACUCAUGCAGAAUUCUGGCUUGAUGUUUGGUCCACCUGUUAGCUGGCUCUGGUGCUUGGUAGUCUUCUCAAACCUCUGAAUCAAGACCACCAUGAGAGGCCUUCUGAAGACCAUCAUUACGCUUCAGAUCCAGUUGUCUUUACUUUGAGCCUACCACAAUCCCUGUGCACCAGCUAUGGAAAGUGCAGACCAAACUUCUACCUCCACCUAUAGAACUGAACUGGAGUCUAUGAACUAAUGCUGUGUUCGAGACAACUUGGAUGUUGGAUAUUAUUGACCUUAAACCCGUAAGAAGUCAGGAACAGGAAACAAAGUGGAGUAUCCGACCUCUCAACUUGGACCAGAUCGAUCAACACCGACCUCAACGAGAUGCGUCAUUUGACAUUGCAGACAAGAUCCUUUCUCUUUUUAAUGCAGCACUUAAGGAUGAACCACCCUGAUGAUCUACUAAGAUGCACAGAUUCAACUCUGGCCCAGCAUCAUCCCCAUACCUCAUCUGCCAUCAGUUCAAUUUAAUGUCUGUCAAUUGCAAAUGGUAUUUAUUUCAGUUAUAUUACAACUUAAUAUUAAAGAAAUAGUCUACCCUUUUGCCAUAUUAAACUAUGUUAUUACCUCAACCUAGAUGAAUUAAUACAUACCUAUCUUUUUUCAAUGCGUGCACCGUACAGCGCGUUGUGAAUGUGUUAGCAUUUAGCCUAGCCCCUUUCAUUCCUAUGGUACCAAAAAAGUUUUAUUUUGUGGCACCAUACUUACUGGUAUAACUCCUCAUGUAACCGUCUUAAAAUAGGGAAAACACGAAAGUGUUUGGUGGCUUCCCUGUUUGGUACCAUAGGAAUGAAUGGGGCUAGGCUAAAUGCUAACACAUUCACGACGCGCUGUACAGUGCACAAUAGAUAUGUAUUAAUUCGUCUAAGUUGAGGUAAUAACAUAGUUUAAUAUGGCAAAAGGGUAGACUAUUCCUUUAACUUUAAUUGAGACUAGUAUUGUGUAAAGCUGGGGUUUCCAAACUUCUCAUUUCAAAACCUAUUAGACAACUGUAAUCUAUUCUAGACCCACUAAAAUAUUUUUAAAUAUACAUUUUUUAAUGGGGUAAAACACAUUUGUUCUCUUUCAGUGGAGUCAUUUUAUUUUCAUAAUAUUUCAUAAUGUAAAGUAAAUAUAAGUUUAUUUGCAAUACCAAAUAUUUUAUGGUAUAUUCUUUCAAAACCAUUGUCAUUGUUAAUUAUUAGUUUGGCCAAACUGUUGUUGCAUCAUUACGGUGUGCAACACACCUUAACCUACUGUGUGACGGACAAGUAGGUCCUCCUGACACACAAUUUAAAAUCCCCUGGUGUACCGAAUGUUGUAUUGUAAUUAAAGUUGCAUCUAAGUCUUGUGUAA